Asparagus officinalis (garden asparagus) is the source of this 522-nucleotide long non-coding RNA. RefSeq lists it as uncharacterized. The record is from RefSeq and is a predicted model, not a curated record. The transcript has 2 exons. Lineage: Eukaryota; Viridiplantae; Streptophyta; Magnoliopsida; Asparagales; Asparagaceae.
UCGAGACUGGCUUCUUAUUCUUCUGGAAGCGCCCUCAGCCGCGCAGAAAGAGACGGUGACCGAACGCCGUAUAAGUACGCCUCGCUUCUUCCCCCCGAAAUCCCAAAUUCUAGGGUUUCAAAAAAAACUCUCUGAUCCUCAAAUUCUAGGGUUUCGAAGAUGAUCGAAGUGGUUCUCAACGAUCGAUUGGGGAAGAAGGUGCGCGUGAAGUGCAACGAGGACGACACCAUCGGCGACCUAAAGAAGCUCGUGGCGGCUCAAACGGGUACACUCUCAAGGACUAUGAGAUCCAUGAUGGCAUGGGACUCGAGCUCUACUACAAUUGAUGGCAAUGGAGGUGCACUGACAUUGAGAUAUGAGAACAUGUAGCUGUGUGGUUCUUCGGAGUUGUUUGGAUAAUAAUCCUAUAACCGUGAAACUUCUGUUAAUCAUGAGUGAAUGAUCUUUAUGUCAAGGGAGUGCUUUCUAUGUUUUAAUGAUAUGUAUUCGCUGAGUUAUCUUGUCUUGUUGCUUUUCAAUUCA